Non-coding RNA from Arachis ipaensis, 1202 nucleotides. Lineage: Eukaryota; Viridiplantae; Streptophyta; Magnoliopsida; Fabales; Fabaceae. The record is from RefSeq and is a predicted model, not a curated record.
AAGUCAAAUAUUGGAGUUAUGGUGGUGUCCCCUCUUUGCCGUCCACUUGUUCUUAUUUUUCUAAGCUUAGGCCAAGUUGAUUGGUUUUAGGAGCUGUCUGUGUCUAAAUGCAUUUUUAUCUCCAUCAAGGAUCAUGAUUUUGGUUUACUUCUAUAAUAUCUAUCCACUAUCCGGUAUGUUCUAGUUGCCAAUAAUUACUCUGAUUCAUUGUUCCUUACCGUUUAUUUCACCUAGCCACCAUCCUCUGCUUACCUUCCAUGCCUUUGUCAUGUAAAGGAGGAUAAAGAAUAAAAAGAAAUAAGUGAAGAAUCAUGUAUAUGGGAAGAGGAGUGGCCCAAACGAGUUGUGGAUUAGCAUUUAGCGAUUGGCAGAAUCUUAGUAGACAACAUUAUUUACAGCCCGACCGAAAAAAGAAGACAAGCAGAAUCAAAACAAAAGAGGGGACAAUGGCCAUUGGCCAACAUGUAUCUGAUAUUUACCACCAUACUGCAAUGUUCUAAACACGAAUCAUCAUACAUUGUGAACAUCCUCAUAAUUAUCUUUUCUUCUCUUUGAUGUGUUAUGUUGAAAAUUCCUUUUCUAUUUGAUUUCUAAUUCCAAAUAAGCCUGUCUUUUUAUUUUCUCUUUUCCCUUAGGUUGAUUAGACAAUCAUUAGUUCAUUAAAGAAGUGCUCGAAUCACACCUUGUACAUGCAGGCCAAUGAUAAACUCUUAGAUGGAAUUUCGAUCUGCGAAAAAUUAGUCUUUAACCUGUCUAACUGGAGAUACAGAGGCGACCAAAGGAAAAAGAAAAAGAAAUUGAAAGUUCUAGAAUAUUCUACUAGAAAAAGAAGAAAGAGAUUGGGGUGCUGUAAAAGAGGUGCCAGCAGGAAGCAGUUGGCAACACAUUUGGCUAAUUUGGGCCCUGGGCCCGGGGGGCAUGGCAUGGAUGAAUCUUUUUGGAUAUUAAAAAAAAAAAAAAGAGAGAGAGAAAGGAAACCAAGACAGCCUGAAAAACUUGAUGGCGGCCACACUCCGUUGUUGACACCAUUGCACGCUUUUCUAUGUUCCCAUUCCUAGUACCAAAAUGGCAAAAUUAAUCGCUCCCAUGUACGGUAGUUAUCAUAACGAACAGCAAUUGAUUCGGUCAAAAGUAUUGUGUUAACUUGUUAGUAUAGUAGAUCAGUGAUUCAACAAGGUUAUUAGUUGAACCGUUUAUAAUAA